Pygocentrus nattereri (red-bellied piranha) is the source of this 1018-nucleotide long non-coding RNA. RefSeq lists it as uncharacterized. The record is from RefSeq and is a predicted model, not a curated record. The transcript has 2 exons. NCBI's taxonomy places the organism in Eukaryota, Metazoa, Chordata, Actinopteri, Characiformes, Serrasalmidae.
UGUGGGCGGGGAGUUUUCAUUAUUGAAAAAUAAAAGGCUGUUUGCUCACUGUCGUACUUGCAGUUCAAAGCAGCGAAGCGGCCUGGAUCCAGACUUCUCCGUCGUUCAUGCAAAAACCUAUAUAUAAGCAGUAUUCCAUCCUAAGCAAGUGUAUUAACCCAUUUUUAUCAGCCAGUGUGGUGAAACACUAAGAAAAAGAAAAAAAAAAAGUUUGGUUUAAUUCCUAACCAGUCGCAAUAUUAAACCUCCUCCUUCCCACUUUAUGGCGCCUAAAUCGGUUUGGCUACCUCGUAGAUGUAGUAGAAACUUGUAUUCUUUUAAAAAAAACAAAAAAGAGAGAAAGAAAUGGAAAUCAAUUGUGCCUGGAAAUACACUCCCCUCCCCCAUCUUGUUUCUUUUUUCGCUUGAGAACAGCAGAAAUGAAGCACCGGGCUCUAACUACCUUUGUUAAUUUGGCCAACAAAAGACUGAAGGGGACGGAGCUGAGAGACUGGCUCAGAAACCGAACCGAGUUUAUGCAAAGACGGACAAAAAUUGCUGGCAUUUGGCGGUGGGAGUCGAGCAGGAGCUCAGUGCAGCUGCUGGGCCUUACAGGCUGAGCGUGGAAGCUCUUUCUCAUAGCGUUUGUGUCUGAACCUUUAUGUACCUGCAUGCCAAUGUGAGAGUGUGAGGCACCAGAGGAAAGAGAGAGAGAGGAAAACGCCGAGUCCAGGCUGACCCCAUUACGACACCCAUGUUAAUUCACUCCAGCAACAUCUAGCCGCUCAUGUUUCUACGGCGAUGACACAAGACUUCAAUUAAAGGCAGGCCAGGCAGGGAAUAGACACCGGCCCCCCUACACCAAACGCCAUUGAUUUCCUCUCCAGCACUCACGUCUCAGGCCACAACCGUCCACCACGCUAUACCAUCUGAUCUGACCCCAUUCCAUGGAACAGACUCCUGUAUGCAGCCACACAUGCUAUAUUACCAGCUGAUCUAAUUCUGUAUGAAAAUCAUUAAAAUAACAUCAACAAUGAAA